AUUUUUUUUUAUUUUCCUCUUCUUUCUUUAUAGUAGCGUGCGAUGUCAACGAUGUGAGCGCCCGCAUGCUCGCCAUUAACCAUGUUUUAGUUGUGGCCCCUGAAAUUAAAAUUUCGCGCCAACAACCUGUAGCAAUUUGCGAGGCCAAGCCUCUACAUUCUCCUGGAUAUUUAAGCAUUGUGUCAUGGCGUCCGACAUUCAUUCGCGCAGCAACGUAUUUUAUUGUUUCAACCUUAGUGCAAAGCUUACAGCUUUGCAACAGGUAGCUGGAUUUCAAUCAGAGAAGUUACUUUAGAAAGUGUUACACCGUAUAUUUCUAAAAAUGAAACAGUCAACAUUGUUUUUUACGUACGUUUCCUUGGUCCGCAUUUUGCAUGUUUUUGUGGUCUGCUUGUGCGCGUUGUCCGUGGAGUCUGCACUUAGCACGUGUGUGUUUGCUGUAGCGCUCUAAGUGGACGCAUUUUUGUUAAGAGGUUAGAAGACGAAGAAUGCCAUGCGCUUAUAUCCCGUCCGCGCGACAUUUAUUCCGGAUAACAAGAAAGCACGUGUGUGACACUGAUGUUUGUCAUGGGCUGCUGCGUCGGAACGUGCGCGAAGGAAAGAGCGGUACGCCCACCACCCCGACGGUAGAACUUGUUUUCCGUGAGCGCUUUCCUCCUCUUGCGUGUACACACGACUCUGCCAGCCGAAUGUUUGAUUCACGUGUGGCGGACGGCACCGGUGUCAAAAGAGCUUGUGCGGUGCCGGUGCAGUGCAGGCGUGGUGUCCGCGAUGCCUGCUUAAGUUGUCGCACACGCCUUCAGUCGAUCGCGAAGGUGUGCGACAUGUCACCGGUUUAAGCUGAACGAUUUACGGCCCGGCCUAUUUACCAGGAUUAUAAAUUGGGCUGGCUGGUCACGGUCAAACCACUUGAAUGUCACUACAACAAACCACUUCUCACAGAAGAAUGUGAUAAAAUAUACCCACAUUCAUAUCUGGUCCACAAGUUCAGUGCACUCCAAUCAACAGGUAUAAGCAAACCAAGCAGCGGAGUCUACUGCGAUGUUCUUUUAAAUCAGUGCCUAUCCUGAAGAAUUUAUUAUUCAGAAAGUAUAUAUGCUUGACUAAUCGUAUGGUGAAUUUUUUCCCAGAGUCCACAUACAUCAAGUUCCCAUCGUCCAGCGGAUCCGCAUAACAAGUAGCCUGGUUUCGAUGCUGGCAGGUCAAAUGUAGGAGAAAUACACUUAUUAGGAGCUUCAUCGAAAUGUAUUCAAUGCUUUUUCCUUUGUUGUCAAAUUCAAUGUUUACUUCCGAUAACAUUACAAGGAAAAUUGGUCUUGAAAUAAAAGACUACAAGAAA
Molecule: non-coding RNA, 1339 nt
Organism: Dermacentor andersoni
Lineage: Eukaryota; Metazoa; Arthropoda; Arachnida; Ixodida; Ixodidae
Source: RefSeq, a predicted model, not a curated record